AUUGAACGCUGGCGGCAGGCCUAACACAUGCAAGUCGAGCGGAUGAAGGGAGCUUGCUCCUGGAUUCAGCGGCGGACGGGUGAGUAAUGCCUAGGAAUCUGCCUGGUAGUGGGGGAUAACGUCCGGAAACGGGCGCUAAUACCGCAUACGUCCUGAGGGAGAAAGUGGGGGAUCUUCGGACCUCACGCUAUCAGAUGAGCCUAGGUCGGAUUAGCUAGUUGGUGGGGUAAAGGCCUACCAAGGCGACGAUCCGUAACUGGUCUGAGAGGAUGAUCAGUCACACUGGAACUGAGACACGGUCCAGACUCCUACGGGAGGCAGCAGUGGGGAAUAUUGGACAAAGGGCGAAAGCCUGAUCCAGUCAUGCCGCGUGUGUGAAGAAGGUCUUCGGAUUGUAAAGCACUUUAAGUUGGGAGGAAGGGCAGUAAGUUAAUACCUUGCUGUUUUGACGUUACCAACAGAAUAAGCACCGGCUAACUUCGUG
This 484-nucleotide ribosomal RNA is filed under the name uncultured bacterium. Its description in RNAcentral is "partial 16S ribosomal RNA". It matches the Rfam family "Bacterial small subunit ribosomal RNA", at positions 30 to 507 of the family's 1533-position model. The record is from RNAcentral.